GGUUUUUGGGUUUGCCAAUUGGAGGGGCUGAAGAUCCAAUACUUGCACUUGAGGAAAGCGCGAGCAGGAACAGAUGAGGAGGGAGAUUGUGUUGCCUUGCAAUUUUCAAUACAAAUUCAGUCAAAACCACACAAUAGGUGUCAUUGGCAAAAAGAGAGCUUGAAAUGGCAGAAAUCAGGCAAAUUCGUCAAAGCAAGUCCUCGGCACCCUGGCUUUUCCAUGAAAGCAACUUACCCAAGUAAGUGAACAUAUCUGCUCUCUCAAGAUAAACACUGACAACCAUUGUUCAAAAUAGAAGACCUGGGAAUGGGAGAUCAAUUGCAGCACAUGCUUGAUCUGGGGCCAUGAUUUGGAGGAUGACCAUAAGCAUAACCCAACCGUCCUCUCAACAGGUAGAAAAAGGAUAGCAGGGAAAACACCAGUAU
This 425-nucleotide unclassified non-coding RNA is filed under the name Hevea brasiliensis (rubber tree). Lineage: Eukaryota; Viridiplantae; Streptophyta; Magnoliopsida; Malpighiales; Euphorbiaceae. The record is from RNAcentral.